Molecule: long non-coding RNA, 1324 nt
Organism: Cyprinus carpio carpio
Lineage: Eukaryota; Metazoa; Chordata; Actinopteri; Cypriniformes; Cyprinidae
Source: Ensembl
AUAAAGAUGAUAUGAUUCUAUAUUAUCUCCAGAAACACAAGCUUCUCUUUAUUCCACAACAAACUCAGUUCCCAGACUAUGCAGAGCUGAUUGUCAAGUUUCUGGAUGCACUGAUUGACACCUAUCUGCCGGGCAUCGAUGAGGCAAUGAGCGAGGAGGGUCUGCACACACCCACCUCUCCAUACCCUCCACCUGUCCAGAGUCAGCUCAGCAUCACUGCUAACCUCAACCUCUCCAUUUCAAUGACCUCACUGGCCACCUCCCAGCAUACACCAGUGGGAUCAGUGGAAAGAGGAUGCUGCUGUCGUUUAGGCCGCUGAUCUCCGUCUCUGUGCUAACUCUGCUGGGCUGGUGCUGGUACAGCUUUAGUAGGAGGAGGACAACGAUGAAUCCAACACAAGUGAACAUGUGUUGUUCGGCCAGAAGCAGCCCUCUUUACUCCUCCCCUGCUGACUCCAGUAUUUUGGGCGAAAGUUUAUUAAAAGCAUGUAAAAAAGUAAAAGCUUGGUUUAUGCCAGGUUACCCUGAAACUUACAUUGACCAACCCAAUGAUCUGAGCAUGGACCACAGCAACUCAGGAUCCUCUGAAAUCAAAAACCUUACCAGCACCUCUUCCAAAACAGGCCUCACCAAGGGAGUUCGACCCGAGCCAGAAGGAGAAGUAUCCGUUCGCUUCCCUGAGACUCUCCAAACUGAGCAGGAAAAGGACAACGUUGCUGGUGAAGGUCAUCCAGACUGUGGAGAAGUUAGUGAAGAUGACUCUAGACUUGAGUCUGAUCUGGUUUGUCUCUCUUCAAACCACCUUGCCACCGACUCUCACACUUUAACAGAGCAACAGUCAGGUGCUGUCCGCUUGGACAGUCAUAAUGGCAGCAGCCUGACCACUGAUGGAGGCCUGAACCAGGAGAACCUGGAGAAGAUCAGUUCUGUUCAGCAGACAACAAGUCAUAGAUGCAGCAGCAGAGGACUGGAAAAACCAGGAACCCAGUGAUCCACAUGAGCCUGGAUUUCAGUUUGCUGCUCGAGAAUCAUUCAGCUGCGAUGACAACAGAAGAGUAUGCCUUCAGGAAGCCAGCUCUUUCAGGGAAAAACUACUCAGCCAUUUAAGAACUUCUGGUGAUGAUUCUGGAUGUGGUUCCUGCUUCUCAGAAGAUGCAUCCGAUGCAGAAGGGCUGACCAGAGAGUUGUCUGAGGAAGGUCAAGGGUUUGUUAUGAUCCCCACAGAAGCAAACACAGUCAGCAUUGAGAGCAAAAUGACUCCCUGUAUGCUCGAGGUGACAGAAGGAGAGGAGGAGGCCUUGAGAGGUGCGUGAAACAUUUACUC